This 67-nucleotide transfer RNA is filed under the name Byctiscus populi. RNAcentral describes it as "tRNA-Ser". It matches the Rfam family "tRNA". Rfam says of the family: Transfer RNA (tRNA) molecules are approximately 80 nucleotides in length. Lineage: Eukaryota; Metazoa; Arthropoda; Insecta; Coleoptera; Attelabidae. The record is from RNAcentral.
AAUUAAUGAACUUGUUUAAGUAUAUGUUUUGAAAACAUAAUAAAGAAGUUCAAUCUUCUAUUAAUUU